CCGCGCUGCGCCAGCACCACCUGCGGAGCUGCGGUGCCCACGCCGUGCCGCGACCCCGCCGCCCCUGCUCCCUCCACACGCGGGCAAACAAAACAAGUUGCCGGUCGCUGCCGCCGGAGGGGGCCGGGCGGGUCACUCACCCUCAUCCUGCUCAGCGGGCUUGGGUCGUCCGGCCGCGGGGUCAGGGAAGACCAGAGGACCACUAGCCCCAGGAAGCUUCCCACCACCAGCAAACUGCGUGGUGAAUUUGUAACCGAAAGGCCCAGGUGAGAUGUGCAAAUAUCACUGGAUUGGAGGAGCUCACUUGGAAAGCCAGUAUUCCUCCUGAGCUAAUGAAAAGAAAGGCUGUCGUCUUAUGCCAAAAGCAAUACCAACCUUGUUCACGGGCUGAGAUCUAGAGUGUGUAAUUCACGAAGUAUGAAUCUGCUGGGUAAUGUGAUAUGAAAAGCGAAUGCACCAUUUCUUGGUGAUGAUUCAGGUCAGCGUUGGGACCCAGGAAUCUCCUGUUAAUCAGUACCCUGGUGAUUUUGAUCCAGAGACGGGGUCUAUUAUCUGGUCCUGUUGUCAAGGCUGGUCUCAAACUCCUGGCCUCCAGCGAUCCUCCCUUUUUGGCCUCCCAAGAUGCUGGUAUUACAGGCAUGAGCCACCAUGGUCCACCCGGACUCCUUUUCAUAGGAGACAGUUCCCUAGGCAGAGACUGGGCUUGAAACAGACAGGCUAGCUUCAUGCGUGAUAUGCGUAGAAUUCCUGCAGGAUCGCAUGCCCACCUAGAGAACCAUUCCCUGAGGCCAAGUAUACAGUGGAUUCUGA
This 810-nucleotide long non-coding RNA is filed under the name Homo sapiens (human). RNAcentral describes it as "LHRI_LNC1004.1". Lineage: Eukaryota; Metazoa; Chordata; Mammalia; Primates; Hominidae. The record is from RNAcentral.